This 496-nucleotide ribosomal RNA is filed under the name uncultured bacterium. RNAcentral describes it as "partial 16S ribosomal RNA". It matches the Rfam family "Bacterial small subunit ribosomal RNA", at positions 28 to 506 of the family's 1533-position model. The record is from RNAcentral.
GAUGAACGCUGGCGGCGUGCCUAAUACAUGCAAGUCGAGCGAACGGACGAGAAGCUUGCUUCUCUGAUGUUAGCGGCGGACGGGUGAGUAACACGUGGAUAACCUACCUAUAAGACUGGGAUAACUUCGGGAAACCGGAGCUAAUACCGGAUAAUAUUUUGAACCGCAUGGUUCAAAAGUGAAAGACGGUCUUGCUGUCACUUAUAGAUGGAUCCGCGCUGCAUUAGCUAGUUGGUAAGGUAACGGCUUACCAAGGCAACGAUGCAUAGCCGACCUGAGAGGGUGAUCGGCCACACUGGAACUGAGACACGGUCCAGACUCCUACGGGAGGCAGCAGUAGGGAAUCUUCCGCAAUGGGCGAAAGCCUGACGGAGCAACGCCGCGUGAGUGAUGAAGGUCUUCGGAUCGUAAAACUCUGUUAUUAGGGAAGAACAUAUGUGUAAGUAACUGUGCACAUCUUGACGGGACCUAAUCAGAAAGCCACGGCUAACUACGU